GCUCUGGGCAGCUUUUUGUGGACUUUUAACUGCGACCUUGCCGACCCUCACGGUUCCGAGGGUAGGGAGAGUUGAGACCCCCUGGAUCCCGGCACUAAGCUACCCGGAUUCUAUUCAAAGCUAGGGCCCAGGGCUGGUUCGCGCGCUCCCCCUGCUGGAAACCGCCUGUCGGGCUCAGAGGCGCAGGGCAGCGGCUGGGGUACCUUGGGCCGGGAGGUUCUGAGGCUCGAACCGGGGCCAGGACCGAAGCCUGCGCGGCUCCCGGUUCUUCAUCCCGCGGUGCGACAUUCCGAAGUGGGACAUGCUAACCCAAGCAACAAAGCUUUCGUCCCCAUGCCCACCACUCAGCGGACGUCCCAGGAAUCUGCAGCCUCUUCACCCCCGCACAACACAGGCACAGUCCUCGCUUUGCACCCCGCUGUGUUUCCCACGCCGAGGGCACAGUUGGCACCUUCUGGAUACUCGCACUGGGUACAGGUAUGAUGAGAUGUUCCACUGAGCAUGCUCCUAUAUGUUUGUGUACUGCCUCUCCAGUAGGAAGAAAGGCCUUGGCCCUCCCCCUAAAAUCUCUCUUCAUUCCUCCUGUACCUCCCACACACCAUGGCACAGCUGUCACCAGUGUGCCUGUUUGGGAAGAGAGACCUGCAGCUGCAGGCUUGGAGAAAGGUUUUUAAUUAAAACCACAAUC
This is a long non-coding RNA of Bos taurus (domestic cattle), 688 nucleotides long. The record is from Ensembl. Lineage: Eukaryota; Metazoa; Chordata; Mammalia; Artiodactyla; Bovidae.